GCUCCUAUAGCUCAGUUGGCAGAGCGUGCGGCUGUUAACCGCAAGGUCGUUGGUUCGAACCCAACUGGGAGCG
Molecule: transfer RNA, 73 nt
Filed under: bacterium
Lineage: Bacteria
Description: tRNA-Asn
Rfam family: tRNA
About the family: Transfer RNA (tRNA) molecules are approximately 80 nucleotides in length. Their secondary structure includes four short double-helical elements and three loops (D, anti-codon, and T loops). Further hydrogen bonds mediate the characteristic L-shaped molecular structure. tRNAs have two regions of fundamental functional importance: the anti-codon, which is responsible for specific mRNA codon recognition, and the 3' end, to which the tRNAs corresponding amino acid is attached (by aminoacyl-tRNA synthetases). tRNAs cope with the degeneracy of the genetic code in two manners: having more than one tRNA (with a specific anti-codon) for a particular amino acid; and 'wobble' base-pairing, i.e. permitting non-standard base-pairing at the 3rd anti-codon position.
Source: RNAcentral